RNAcentral lists this long non-coding RNA (1124 nucleotides) under Chlamydomonas reinhardtii. Its description in RNAcentral is "long non-coding RNA (CREI_LNC000623)". The record is from RNAcentral. Lineage: Eukaryota; Viridiplantae; Chlorophyta; Chlorophyceae; Chlamydomonadales; Chlamydomonadaceae.
CAUCUUUGUUGGGCAACUUUAGGCAGCGCUCUCUCUCUCUCCCUCUGCCCAGGCGCGAUGUUGUUCCUUUCACACGUCUGUACCUGACAGCAUACCUUGCAAAUGAGCGGCUGACGAAAAUUGGGCCCUCCGCAUUAGAGCUGCGGCAGAAGCAACCUGCUGGGAGCUCUGCUGGAAUCUUGGACCGGUGGACGUAUUGAGCUAGCAGCUAAACUGCUGGACCAAGCAAGGGCAAGUAAGGCAGCAAAUAAGCGCCGCGCGCGCGUGAACGAGGGCGGGACGAGGAGCGCCACCGUUGCGCUGUGCAGCAGAGCAGCUGAGCAACCUUGCUUCGUGCAAUAAAUGUGCUGGUAGCGCGUUAUGGGGCGACCCACCGGACCCGGGACUUGAUUGGGUGGGGCGGGGACUCUGGACGCGGAAGACAAAGCCUCCAUCCGCCAUUGUGCCUUGCCGUUUACUACGUACCGGUUUGCGUUAGGGAGAGGGGCAUACGUCCAUCCGUUGAACCGCACGGCGCCCACCUUGUAUGGCAUCUCUGGCCCCCGCCCGUAGUCCUGCCUUUGAACCCCGACCGCCGGCGGCGUGGUGGUCACGCAAAACGCACCGUGUGCUGCACCAUGUGCUGCACAGCGGCGGGGUGAAACAAGCGACCGACCGUGGUCGCUGACCACGCUCUGUGCCAGGGUGGUAGCUGCGCCAAGUGCCCCGCCACGCAGACCUUCUGCCGGGGCCUGUGCCAGCGGUGCAACGUACUAGCUACCGGGAGUACUACCGCAAGAAGAAGUGACGCGCAGGCGCCAGGCGCAGCUGUAAGAUUGAGAGCGGGCAGGGAGGACGUAGACGUAGCAGGCGCAACACCGCGGCAAGCAGGGGCGGCCUUUAUAGGGCGUCGUUCCGAAAGUGUUGGUGCAUGAGGAACGCAUAGAACGCACUGCGGUUGCAAGGCAUGCGCUGGUUGAGGCGUUGGCGCAAGCAUGGAGCGCGUCGUCGCCGUGCUGGCUGUGAUGACUCCAAGGGAAGGCUAAGAAAUGCUGGCGCUGCUUACUUCGUUCCUACACGCGUGUGCUGUGCUUUGCUGCUCGUGAUGGAACAUGGCAAGGGGCAGGAAAGCGUAGUCCCGAUGU